Molecule: long non-coding RNA, 459 nt
Organism: Oncorhynchus tshawytscha (Chinook salmon)
Lineage: Eukaryota; Metazoa; Chordata; Actinopteri; Salmoniformes; Salmonidae
Source: Ensembl
GGGGAGCUGGUGUGCUUAACGAUGGGGAGCAGGUGUGCUUAACGAUGGGGAGCUGGUGUGCUUAACGAUGGGGAGCUGGUGUGCUUAAUGAUGGGGAGCAGGUGUGCUUAACGAUGGGGAGCAGGUGUGUGUAAUGAUGGGGAAUACCUCAUGGUAAACUGUAGACCCUUUAAUCUACCAAGAGAGUUCUCAUCCGUAAUUAUCACGGCAAUCUACAUCCCUCCACAAGCCAACACCACUCUGGCAACUCAACAAACUGUAUGGAACCAUAAACAAACUAGAAACCACUCACCCAGAGACAACGUUUCUGGUGGGCGGAGAAUUUAACACGUGGGAGACAUAAAACCGUCCUACCUCACUUCUACCAACACUUCUGCUGCGCCACUAGGAGUGAUAAACCUCUAGACCAAUUAUAUUCUACCCACAGAAACACAUACAAGCCCCUCCCUCCUCCUCCCU